AGCGAACGCUGGCGGCAGGCCUAACACAUGCGAGUCGAACGAUCCUUCGGGAUAGUGGCGGACGGGUGAGUAACACGUGGGAACGUGCCUUUUGGUUCGGAACAACUCAGGGAAACUUGAGCUAAUACCGGAUGUGCCCUUCGGGGGAAAGAUUUAUCGCCAUUAGAGCGGCCCGCGUCUGAUUAGCUAGUUGGUGGGGUAAAGGCCUACCAAGGCGGCGAUCAGUAGCUGGUCUGAGAGGAUGAUCAGCCACAUUGGGACUGAGACACGGCCCAAACUCCUACGGGAGGCAGCAGUGGGGAAUCUUGCGCAAUGGGCGAAAGCCUGACGCAGCCAUGCCGCGUGAAUGAUGAAGGUCUUAGGAUUGUAAAAUUCUUUCACCGGGGACGAUAAUGACGGUACCCGGAGAAGAAGCCCCGGCUAACUUCGUGCCAGCCGCCGCAGUAA
This 447-nucleotide ribosomal RNA is filed under the name uncultured bacterium. RNAcentral's name for it is "partial 16S ribosomal RNA". It matches the Rfam family "Bacterial small subunit ribosomal RNA", at positions 29 to 523 of the family's 1533-position model. The record is from RNAcentral.